RNAcentral lists this ribosomal RNA (253 nucleotides) under uncultured bacterium. Its description in RNAcentral is "partial 16S ribosomal RNA". It matches the Rfam family "Bacterial small subunit ribosomal RNA", at positions 524 to 776 of the family's 1533-position model. The record is from RNAcentral.
UACAGAGGUCUCAAGCGUUGUUCGGAUUCAUUGGGCGUAAAGGGUGCGUAGGUGGCUUUGUAAGUCAGUGGUGAAAUCUCGGAGCUUAACUCCGCAACUGCCAUUGAUACUGCUUAGCUUGAAUCAAGUAGAGGUGGAUGGAAUAUUACAUGUAGCGGUGAAAUGCUUAGAUAUGUAAUAGAACACCGAUUGCGAAGGCAGUUCACUAUGCUUGUAUUGACACUGAGGCACGAAAGCGUGGGGAUCAAACAGG